This 76-nucleotide transfer RNA is filed under the name Alicycliphilus denitrificans. Its description in RNAcentral is "tRNA-Val". It matches the Rfam family "tRNA". From Rfam's summary of the family: Transfer RNA (tRNA) molecules are approximately 80 nucleotides in length. Their secondary structure includes four short double-helical elements and three loops (D, anti-codon, and T loops). RNAcentral also lists the same sequence under 13 other names. Lineage: Bacteria; Pseudomonadati; Pseudomonadota; Betaproteobacteria; Burkholderiales; Comamonadaceae. The record is from RNAcentral.
GGGUGCUUAGCUCAGUUGGUAGAGCGGCGCCCUUACAAGGCGUAGGUCAGCGGUUCGAGCCCGUUAGCACCCACCA